GGAGGAAAGCAGGGGAUCGUAAGACCUUGCGCCGAUGGAUGAGCCGAAGUCGGAUUAGCUAGUUGGUAGGGUAACGGCCUACCAAGGCGACGAUCCGUAGCUGGUCUGAGAGGACGACCAGCCACACUGGGACUGAGACACGGCCCAGACUCCUACGGGAGGCAGCAGUGGGGAAUAUUGGACAAUGGGGGCAACCCUGAUCCAGCGACGCCGCGUGUGUGAAGAAGGCCUGCGGGUUGUAAAGCACUUUUAGUGGGGAUGAAAAGCUCAGGGCUAAUACCUCUGGGUCUUGACCUAACCCACAGAAAAAGCACCGGCUAACUCUGUGCCAGCAGCCGCGGUAAUACAGAGGGUGCGAGCGUUAAUCGGAAUUACUGGGCGUAAAGCGCGCGUAGACGGUUUUGUAAGUCAGA
This 413-nucleotide ribosomal RNA is filed under the name uncultured bacterium. Its description in RNAcentral is "bacterial SSU rRNA". It matches the Rfam family "Bacterial small subunit ribosomal RNA", at positions 198 to 592 of the family's 1533-position model. The record is from RNAcentral.